AUGCUCACUUCGGCAGUACAUAUACUAAAAUUGCAAUGAUACAGAGAAAAUUAGCAUGGUCCCUGAGCAAGAAUGAACACAAAUUCAUGAAGGGUUCCAUAGUUUU
This 106-nucleotide small nuclear RNA is filed under the name Dasypus novemcinctus (nine-banded armadillo). The record is from RNAcentral. Lineage: Eukaryota; Metazoa; Chordata; Mammalia; Cingulata; Dasypodidae.